UAGGGAAUAUUGGUCAAUGGGCGAGGGCCUGAACCAGCCAUGCCGCGUGCAGGAAGACGGCCUUCUGGGUUGUAAACUGCUUUUAUCAGGGAACAAAAAGGCCAUGCGUGGCAAAUUGCGUGUACCUGAAGAAUAAGCACCGGCUAACUCCGUGCCAGCAGCCGCGGUAAUACGGAGGGUGCAAGCGUUGUCCGGAUUUAUUGGGUUUAAAGGGUGCGUAGGCGGCUUGUUAAGUCAGUGGUGAAAUCCUACAGCUCAACUGUAGAACUGCCAUUGAAACUGGCGAGCUUGAGUACAGACGAGGUAGGCGGAAUUUAUGGUGUAGCGGUGAAAUGCAUAGAUACCAUAAGGAACCCCUAUAGCGAAGGCAGCUUACUAGGCUGUAACUGACGCUGAGGCACGAAAGCGUGGGGAGCGAACAGGAUUAGAUACCCCCGUAGUCC
This 443-nucleotide ribosomal RNA is filed under the name uncultured prokaryote. RNAcentral describes it as "bacterial SSU rRNA". It matches the Rfam family "Bacterial small subunit ribosomal RNA", at positions 355 to 796 of the family's 1533-position model. The record is from RNAcentral.